Molecule: ribosomal RNA, 568 nt
Filed under: uncultured bacterium
Lineage: Bacteria
Description: bacterial SSU rRNA
Rfam family: Bacterial small subunit ribosomal RNA
Source: RNAcentral
AAUUGUGGGAUGGUGGGGGCAAGCCUGAUCCAGCAAUGCCGCGUGCAGGAAGAAGGCCUUCGGGUUGUAAACUGCUUUUGUACGGAACGAAACGGUCUGGGUUAAUACCCUGGGCUAAUGACGGUACCGUAAGAAUAAGCACCGGCUAACUACGUGCCAGCAGCCGCGGUAAUACGUAGGGUGCAAGCGUUAAUCGGAAUUACUGGGCGUAAAGCGUGCGCAGGCGGUUUUGUAAGACAGGCGUGAAAUCCCCGGGCUCAACCUGGGAAUUGCGCUUGUGACUGCAAGGCUGGAGUGCGGCAGAGGGGGAUGGAAUUCCGCGUGUAGCAGUGAAAUGCGUAGAUAUGCGGAGGAACACCGAUGGCGAAGGCAAUCCCCUGGGCCUGCACUGACGCUCAUGCACGAAAGCGUGGGGAGCAAACAGGAUUAGAUACCCUGGUAGUCCACGCCCUAAACGAUGUCAACUGGUUGUUGGGAAUUUACUUUCUCAGUAACGAAGCUAACGCGUGAAGUUGACCGCCUGGGGAGUACUGCCGCAAGGUUUGAAACUCAAAGGAAUUGAAGGGGA